AGAGUUUGAUCCUGGCUCAGAUUGAACGCUGGCGGCAUGCCUUACACAUGCAAGUCGAACGGUAGCACGGGGGCAACCCUGGUGGCGAGUGGCGAACGGGUGAGUAAUGCAUCGGAACGUGCCCUGGGUGGGGGAUCCGUAAGGGAAGUUACGCUAAUACCGCAUAUUCUGUGACCUGAGAGCAGGGGAUCGCAAGACCUUGCGCUUUAUGAGCGGCCGAUGUCGGAUUACCUAGUUGGUGGGGUAAAACCUCACCGAGGCGACCAUCCGGAGCGCGGCUGAGAGGAUGAUCCGCCACGCUGGGACUGAGACACGGCCCAUACUCCUACAGGAGGCAGCGAUGGGGAAUUUUGGACGAUGGGCGCCCGCCUGAUCCCACCAUGCCUGGUGAAUGAAGAAGGUCUUCGGGGUGUAAAGCUCUUUCAGCGGAAAAAAAAUUGCACUCAUUAAUACCGGGUGUAGAUGACGGUACCCGCGUAAGAAGCACCGGCUAACUACGUGCCAGCAGCCGCGGAAAUACGUAGGGUGCUAGCGUUAAUCUGAAUUACUGGGCGGCAAACGUGCGCAAGUGGUUGUGUAAUUCAGAUGCGAAAUCCCCGGGCUCAACCUGGGAACUGCAUUUGAUACUGCACGGCUAGAGAAUAGCAGAGGGUGGUAGAAUUCCACGUGUAAUGCUGAAAUGCGUAGAGAUGUGCAGGAAUACCGAUGGCCUAAGCAGCCCCCUGGGCUAUUUCUGACACUCAUGCACGAGAGCGUGACGAGCAAACAGGAUUAGAUACCCUGGUAGUCCACACCCUGAUCGAUGUCUACUAGAUGUUGGAAGGGUUAAACCUUUUAAUGUCGUAACUAAUUCGUGAAGUUGAGCAC
Molecule: ribosomal RNA, 867 nt
Filed under: uncultured beta proteobacterium
Lineage: Bacteria; Pseudomonadati; Pseudomonadota; Betaproteobacteria
Description: bacterial SSU rRNA
Rfam family: Bacterial small subunit ribosomal RNA
Source: RNAcentral